Molecule: ribosomal RNA, 1340 nt
Filed under: uncultured bacterium
Lineage: Bacteria
Description: partial 16S ribosomal RNA
Rfam family: Bacterial small subunit ribosomal RNA
Source: RNAcentral
GACGAACGCUGGCGGCGUGCUUAACACAUGCAAGUCGAACGGUAAGGCUCUAGCUUGCUGGGGUACACGAGUGGCGAACGGGUGAGUAACACGUGGGUGACCUGCCCUGCACUUCGGGAUAAGCCUGGGAAACUGGGUCUAAUACCGGAUAGGACCGCACCGUGAGGGUGUGGUGGAAAGUUUUUUCGGUGUGGGAUGGGCCCGCGGCCUAUCAGCUUGUUGGUGGGGUAAUGGCCUACCAAGGCGGCGACGGGUAGCCGGCCUGAGAGGGUGGACGGCCACAUUGGGACUGAGACACGGCCCAGACUCCUACGGGAGGCAGCAGUGGGGAAUAUUGCACAAUGGGCGGAAGCCUGAUGCAGCGACGCCGCGUGGGGGAUGACGGCCUUCGGGUUGUAAACUCCUUUCACCAUCGACGAAGGGUUUCUGACGGUAGAUGGAGAAGAAGCACCGGCUAACUACGUGCCAGCAGCCGCGGUAAUACGUAGGGUGCGAGCGUUGUCCGGAAUUACUGGGCGUAAAGAGCUCGUAGGUGGUUUGUCGCGUCGUCUGUGAAUUCCGGGGCUUAACUCCGGGCGUGCAGGCGAUACGGGCAUAACUUGAGUACUGUAGGGGAGACUGGAAUUCCUGGUGUAGCGGUGAAAUGCGCAGAUAUCAGGAGGAACACCGGUGGCGAAGGCGGGUCUCUGGGCAGUAACUGACGCUGAGGAGCGAAAGCAUGGGGAGCGAACAGGAUUAGAUACCCUGGUAGUCCAUGCCGUAAACGGUGGGCGCUAGGUGUGGGUUUCCUUCCACGGGAUCCGUGCCGUAGCUAACGCAUUAAGCGCCCCGCCUGGGGAGUACGGCCGCAAGGCUAAAACUCAAAGGAAUUGACGGGGGCCCGCACAAGCGGCGGAGCAUGUGGAUUAAUUCGAUGCAACGCGAAGAACCUUACCUGGGCUUGACAUAUACAAGAUCACGCCAGGGAUGGUGUUUCCCUUGUGGCUUGUAUACAGGUGGUGCAUGGUUGUCGUCAGCUCGUGUCGUGAGAUGUUGGGUUAAGUCCCGCAACGAGCGCAACCCUUGUCUUAUGUUGCCAGCACGUUGUGGUGGGGACUCGUAAGAAACUGCCGGGGUUAACUCGGAGGAAGGUGGGGAUGACGUCAAAUCAUCAUGCCCCUUAUGUCCAGGGCUUCACACAUGCUACAAUGGUCGGUACAGUGGGUUGCCAGUCCGUGAGGGCGAGCUAAUCCCGCAAAGCCGGUCUCAGUUCGGAUCGGGGUCUGCAACUCGACCCCGUGAAGUCGGAGUCGCUAGUAAUCGCAGAUCAGCAACGCUGCGGUGAAUACGUUCCCGGGCCU